UAGGGAAUCUUCCACAAUGGGCGCAAGCCUGAUGGAGCAACACCGCGUGAGUGAAGAAGGGUUUCGGCUCGUAAAGCUCUGUUGUUAGAGAAGAACGUGCGUGAGAGCAACUGUUCACGCAGUGACGGUAUCUAACCAGAAAGUCACGGCUAACUACGUGCCAGCAGCCGCGGUAAUACGUAGGUGGCAAGCGUUAUCCGGAUUUAUUGGGCGUAAAGCGAGCGCAGGCGGUUUGAUAAGUCUGAUGUGAAAGCCUUUGGCUUAACCAAAGAAGUGCAUCGGAAACUGUCAGACUUGAGUGCAGAAGAGGACAGUGGAACUCCAUGUGUAGCGGUGGAAUGCGUAGAUAUAUGGAAGAACACCAGUGGCGAAGGCGGCUGUCUGGUCUGCAACUGACGCUGAGGCUCGAAAGCAUGGGUAGCGAACAGGA
RNAcentral lists this ribosomal RNA (430 nucleotides) under uncultured bacterium. RNAcentral's name for it is "bacterial SSU rRNA". It matches the Rfam family "Bacterial small subunit ribosomal RNA", at positions 355 to 777 of the family's 1533-position model. The record is from RNAcentral.